UGUUAAAAACUUCACCCAUAUAUACUAUUAAAAAUUGAUGCGGUUGACGGAAUGACCAUAUAACGACAAGUGGUAUACCGCAUGCACCUCAUAUUGACAUAGAGGAACCAAUUUUUAACAACAGAAAUAUAUGAAAAUUUUAACA
Non-coding RNA from Gossypium raimondii (Peruvian cotton), 145 nucleotides. NCBI's taxonomy places the organism in Eukaryota, Viridiplantae, Streptophyta, Magnoliopsida, Malvales, Malvaceae. The record is from Rfam.